This 498-nucleotide ribosomal RNA is filed under the name uncultured bacterium. RNAcentral's name for it is "bacterial SSU rRNA". It matches the Rfam family "Bacterial small subunit ribosomal RNA", at positions 28 to 533 of the family's 1533-position model. The record is from RNAcentral.
GACGAACGCUGGCGGCGUGCCUAACACAUGCAAGUCGAGCGGAGGUACAAUGAGAGCAAUCGAGAUGUACUUUAGCGGCGGACGGGUGAGUAACGCGUGAGCAACCUGCCUAUCACAGGGGGAUAAGGCGGCGAAAGCCGCUCUAAUACCGCAUGAGACCCUCAAAGCGAUGCAAUGGGGGUGAAAGGAGCGAUCCGGUGAGAGAUGGGCUCGCGUCCGAUUAGGUAGUUGGUAGGGUAAGGGCCUACCAAGCCAAUGAUCGGUAGCCGGCCUGAGAGGGUGAACGGCCACAUUGGAACUGAGAGACGGUCCAAACUCCUACGGGAGGCAGCAGUGGGGAAUAUUGGGCAAUGGGCGGAAGCCUGACCCAGCAACGCCGCGUGAGGGAAGAAGGUUUUCGGAUUGUAAACCUCUGUUCUUGGGGAAGAGGAGGAGACGGUACCCAAGGAGGAAGCCACGGCAAACUACGUGCCAGCGCCCGCGGUAAUACGUAGCGUG